UUCUAGCUGGGGAUAUGGGGGCUGGCCCUUGAGCAGGACUUUGCAGCAUGGGGUGACAUUUAUUGCUAUAUAUCCUCCUGGUGCUGUGCUAGGGGCUAGGACCCCCUACUGUUCCAGUAAUAAAGCCCAGUCCCUGCCAGGUGCUUGCAGUCCAGGGGGCACCCAGGUGAGUGGCAGUCAGGGCCAACACUGUGUGGUGGCAGGGCUAGGGUGGGAGCCUCACAUACAUUUUUCUCAUGAUCUUCCCCCAUGACCUUGGUGAUUUCCAGAGAUUUUUGUCAGUCCUUCCCGUUUUGCAAGUUGAUCAGUUUGGCCCUUUGGUUUUUAGAUUUUUAUAGAAAGAACUUCUCUCAUCCCUGCUCAUAUCCUUUCAGUUAUGUUCAAAGGCAAAUCUCCAACCCAUUCCCACUCUGGCCAUCUGAAGUGUGCUGGGUCACGAGGGCAGGCUGCAGCCUCCCUUGCAGUUCCUUGCCUUAGACGCCCGUGCCAGCCCAUUCAACCAUCACAAACCCACAGACAGAGCAGAAGGUUCCAAACAGUCUGCGCCUGCGCUGGACCACCCUCUUUCCUCCUUCCUUCAGCUGCCCCUCCUUCUGGAUGGGUAAAAGCACUUCCACGUUUUCAGAGGCAUGGAGGGAGCCCGAGAAGAGCAGAUAUUGACACCACCAUCGCUGCCUGCAGCAGGGAGACCACGGGCACAGUUUCUGUUGAAAGGGUUGACCAGCAAGCACUUCCUUGACUCUGUCCUAAAGCCUGUGGAGAGCCCUUAAAUUUGUGGUCCUUGAGGCUAUUGUAAAGGAUCUUUCCUGGGUGUGCAGGAGGAGUUACGGACCUACCCUCGGGGGUUUUCAUCUUUCAUAAUCAACUGAGGGAGCGACGAAAUUGGCUCCCAGUCCCUCCUAUUUCUGCACAAGACGGGCCUCUUCCCAAGUGGCUGUUCUGCAGAAAAUUCACAUCUUAAGAUUGUAAAAAGCGUUACUGGAAUAAAAGGAU
Cercocebus atys (sooty mangabey) is the source of this 993-nucleotide long non-coding RNA. RefSeq lists it as uncharacterized. The transcript has 3 exons. The record is from RefSeq and is a predicted model, not a curated record. NCBI's taxonomy places the organism in Eukaryota, Metazoa, Chordata, Mammalia, Primates, Cercopithecidae.